GAGGGUAUGGCUCAGUGGUACAGUGCAUGCUUAGCAUGCACAAGGUCCUGGGUUCAAUCCCCAGUGCCUGUA
Molecule: transfer RNA, 72 nt
Filed under: Camelus bactrianus (Bactrian camel)
Lineage: Eukaryota; Metazoa; Chordata; Mammalia; Artiodactyla; Camelidae
Also listed under: 2 other names
Rfam family: tRNA
About the family: Transfer RNA (tRNA) molecules are approximately 80 nucleotides in length. Their secondary structure includes four short double-helical elements and three loops (D, anti-codon, and T loops). Further hydrogen bonds mediate the characteristic L-shaped molecular structure. tRNAs have two regions of fundamental functional importance: the anti-codon, which is responsible for specific mRNA codon recognition, and the 3' end, to which the tRNAs corresponding amino acid is attached (by aminoacyl-tRNA synthetases). tRNAs cope with the degeneracy of the genetic code in two manners: having more than one tRNA (with a specific anti-codon) for a particular amino acid; and 'wobble' base-pairing, i.e. permitting non-standard base-pairing at the 3rd anti-codon position.
Source: Rfam by way of RNAcentral